Molecule: long non-coding RNA, 1797 nt
Organism: Populus euphratica (Euphrates poplar)
Lineage: Eukaryota; Viridiplantae; Streptophyta; Magnoliopsida; Malpighiales; Salicaceae
Exons: 2
Source: RefSeq, a predicted model, not a curated record
UUCAAAUUACUAAGAAACUUGGUUCUGAUGACUGUGAUGUGUGUAGUAAUUGUGUAAACUCUUGCACGCCAUCAUGAGAGUACUGUUUCUUUACUGAAAUGUUUGACCUGAGACGAAGAACAAUGAAGAGUUAGAAUUUUUCCCAUGAAGAAGGAGAUGUUGGUGUUAUAACUAAAAGAGGGAAAUACUCUUUAAGUUAAAGCUUACCGUGAGAUUAAUGCUGUUAAAGAAAAAAGGUAGAGGGUCAGAUAUUAGCAUGGUUUGUCCUUGUGAAAGCUAGCGCUUAUGCCCAUGAGGAAAAGAAUCAUGGCACUACAAACAAAAGAGAGAAAUGCUUUAAAGUUGAAGCAUGACCUGAAAUUGUGAAGGCUAAAGACUGGGAGUGUGUGUUCAUUAGCAUGACCUGUCCUUGAGGGAUCCUAGAACUUGUUCUUGCGGUAAUUUGUUCCGAGAGCUUGUCUAAUUCUUACAAGAACGUUUAGGAAAUUAAGGUUUCUAUUUUUCUAGUAUCCUGUGUGUUUAAAUAAACUCGAUGAAUGCUAUCUAUAUUUCACUAUGCAUUUGAUGUGUGGCAUCUAUGGUAGGGUUUUUCUUCUUCUAAGUAAUGUUGCGAGCUCUAUGGGUGAAGGACAGGAUUCAGCUUGAGAUAGUUGUGAGGUAACAGAUGUUGUCAAAUUAAAAAGUUCUAUAAAUUCAUUUGUGCAACUAGGGACAGAGCAGUUACAGUUUUGAAACCAUGAUUAGAAAGAAUGGCUAUGUGAUAUCUUCCUUGGGCAUUAGUCACUUUUUAAGAACUAACAGAUUUUAUACAAAAGCUAGGUUAAAUGCUAAAAGGGAGUAGCUUUCUCUCCUAAAAAUCUAGUUACUCGUGUAACUGAAGUAUAAUUAGUAACACCAGCAGGUUUUUAUUUUAAAUAUACCACCGUUGAAUUAGAGCUGUUUUGUAUUGUGUUCAGAAGAACUUUAAGCCUAAAUAUGCUCUCAAACCUGUCUGACAACUGAGUUUGAUACCAACAAAGCCCUUUGAAGUUUUUUCUUGUGUAAAGCUCCAUAUGAAACCUUUUGUUGGUUCUUCUUGCUGUUACUUUAUGAAAGAAAAUAAUGAUUUUCAUAAAUUAUGCCAAUAUUUGCAUGUCAAUGAUUAGAUUACUACUUUUGUUGUUUGUCAUUUGAAUCAGUUUCGACAUAAGGCUUUCCGAAGCAUAAGUUACCAUACAUUUCUACCUGCCUCAACUGUACCUAACACCAAUAGAAAAGGUUGUAUGUUAGAAGUGCAGGUAGAGUUCCAGACACCUAUUGUCAAAGUGGCGCAAAAUUAUGAAGCAAAAGAGAGCUACAGAUAAUAUGUUAAGACCACAAACAAAAUAGUGAAUUAAAUUUUGGUUUCUAUAAUGCCUUUGUAUGUUGUAAUGUAUGUUGCUUUUGCUGUCAUUAACUCUUCAAACAGCUGUUGAGAUGGUCAUUUGGUUAGGACUUAGGAGUACUGAAGCUCUCGUAUCCUCAAAAUAUUAUUUUUUAAAUUGCUUUAUUUUGUGCGGAAGUGUUUUAGAAUUAAGCUUCAUAUUCCUUGAGAAGAUUUACUCUGUUUGCAAGUUAUCUGCAGAUGCAACAAUGUUCUCUACCUUCAUGGAGUUCCGGAGGAUGAAGAGAUAGAAGAUGCAGAACAAGACUAAGAAGAGGUCAUCAAUGUAUGUUCAAUCAUUGAGUUAAUAGAGAACUCCAAUAGUUUUGAUUUUCAUUUCGGAUAUGCUAAUAUUGUACAUGUAUUUUAAUCAGAGUUGUGCUGUUUGCUUUCAA